AUGUACCCCAUGUUUCUCAAAUAAUCCAAAUGAUAACAUAGAGCUGCAUGGUGACCCUGAGGAAGUGACCAUCUACAUCCAUCAGGUGAUCCCUCCAUUUAUCUCUCCAUCCAUCCAGGUGAUUAAUCAAUUCUUCCAAUCAAAGAUCCAACCAACCCAACUUACAUCCUUCCAUCUGAUAUUAAUCUAUUCGUUCCGAUAUAUAUAUAUCUGGCUAUCCAUCCAUCAUUUCUAUUCAUCCAUUUGUCCAUCCAUCCAUCAUUUCUAUUCAUCCAGCCAGCAAUCCAACCAAAUUUACAUCCAUCCACUCCAUAAAUCCAUCUCUCUGUUCAUUUAUUUCAUCCAUCCAGCCUGCUUAUGAAUCUAUUCAUCUAGCCAGCAAUCCAACCAAAUUCAAACCAUCCAACAAUCUAUCUAUUCAUUUAAUCCAUCCAUCCCGUAACUUCAUUCAUUCCAUUUAUCCAUCCAUCCCGUUUAUCCACUCAUUCCAUUUAAUGCAUCCAUCCCAUAACUUCAUUCAUUCCAUUUAUCCAUCCAUCCCAUUUAUCCACUCAUUCUAUUUAUCCAUCCAGCCAUCCAUCAAUCUAUUCAUUCCAUCCAUCCAAUAUUUAAUCUAUUCAUCCAAUCAGCAAUCCAACCAAACUUCCAUCUAUUAAUUUAAUCCAUCCAUCCAUCCCAUAACUCUAUUCAUUCAAUUUUUCCAUCCGUUCAUCCAUCAAUCCAUUCAUUCCAAUUGUCCACUUAUUCCUUUUGUCCAUCUAUUUUAUUCCAUUCAUCCAAUAUUUAAUCUAUUCAUCCAAUCAACAAUCCAACCAAACUGGCAUCGAACCAUCUAUUCAUUUACUCCAUCCAUCCAAUAAAUCUGUUCAUUAAUUAUAUCCAUCCAUCCACCCACUCAUUUGUUCCAUUCAUCUAUUCAUUCCAUCAGACCAUCCAUCCUCUCAGCCUGUGGCUGGGCGAUAAGAAGAUUUGAUCAGAUAGCAGUGAUGUCUAAUCCGUGCUGAUCCUUGCCAGAUGAUGGCACUCCUUUUAGAAACCGAGAACUAGAGAGGGAUCAUUUUAAACAGCUAAAAAAUAUACAUCUUACUUUACUUAUCCUACAAAUAAAAUACAAAAACUACAGAAGACUAAAGUGUACUCUGAAUAUUAAACUGCGUAGGCUACAAAUUAAGCGACGAAGGCAGCGGGCGGAUUGAAUAAAUUCCUAAACAAUGAGAUUGUAUACGUAAAAGAAAAACAAGACGAGGGCUAUAUUAUAAAAGUCUUUAUUUAUGAGGCAUUUAGUUAUCACAGAAUAAAUCGAACCAAAAUGUUUUUCAUUUUAGCUUCUCGAUGACUGAAAUAUGAAAGUAAAAUACUUCAGCGGUGCACUCUCUCUUCUCUGCAUCCUACUUUUCUGCUUCCACCAAUCAGGAGCGACCCUGGUGGCCAUGUGGGCGUGUACGAUGAGGCAGGACCAUGUGAUCUCACUGUGAGCAGAGUAGUUUUUAAGCCACAUCUAGGCAAAAGAGUUUUUAAAAUUAUGUUUGAGACUCGGGCACAGCUUUUGGAAGUGCAGAGAAUAAAAUUAUUAUUUUUUUUUUUUUAAAUUCAGGAAAACAAGAACGAACAAUGAGAAACAGGUUACCAUGACAACAGUGAGAGGUUGGCGUGGGGCGAUCGUGAUCGGUUAUCGAGAUUGAUUUUUAACUUAUUAUGAUUCGUAUCAGCCGACCGAAACAUCCAAUGCAACAAAACAUGGAUUUGAAACAAUCAGAUCUUGGGAAAAAAAACUAAACAAAACAAAAACAACAACUGUAAGUUGAAUAAGUAGCCUUAUUGAUCAUUCAUUGGUUGCCUUCUUCUCUUUUUUUUUUUUUUUUACAUGAACCUGAGCAAUGCUGUAAUAAAUAUCCGAUCCUGAAUAAAUAUCAUUGCGUGAGCCGGGGAAGAAAGAAAAACAUUUCAUAUGGAUGUAAACCAUCCUACAUUCUCAAUCUGAUAGACUUCCUCCGUUUCUCUUUACAAACUCACGAUGCGGAGAACGCACGGAGAUGGAAACCAGCCGGGGACAAACAUCCGAGAGCGACGCCGUAGUGUUGAGCGCUUCACUUACAAAGGCACAAACUAUUUCCCAGAUAACAUCAAAUCUAACGUGGAGAAAUGAAAAGUAACAAAAUAAUUAUAAGCAAACAUCAGACGUGUCCUUCCGUCCUUUCAGGAGAGAUGAGUCUGGCAUAGAAACGAUCCCGUAUCCAGGUUUUAUUUCUUUUACUUUGUGAUCGCCGUCAACAAUGCCAAUGUUUUAUUAGAUUUUUUUCCCCUCGAAAGUGCAAUUCACAAGAAGAGAGAUCCCACAGCCCCGCUUCAAUACUGUUUCCAAUGCACUCGCAGUCUUGCUCGAUCGUGACACCGUGUUAAGUAGCUAUAAACGUUAAAAAGGAGCAAUAAAAUAUUCUUUUAUAUAAAUAGAACGUUUAAAUGAGGAUCUGUGGAGCCAGGAAGGCUAUCCUCGAGUACUAUAAACCAAAACAAUAAAAGUUGCUUUAUUGUAUAAAAUGGUGAAUAAUUAGCUUUGGUAAUGCAAGUUGGUCCAACGAGGACGUACAAACACAUGACACUUAAAUAAAUCGAACAAUAAUCAAGAAACAGUGAAUUAAUUAAACAGCUGAUAAACGGUCCUUGUUUGGUAAUUCCACACCCAGAACCUAGCUUGCUAACAUUAACGUAAACAGCUACCCGUUCAUCCUUACAUAUUUACGCCUCGAGGAAAUGAUUUCCGAGAACGCAUAGCCUCCGGACUCCAUGUAUAACCCGAUUUUUUCGGAACGCCGCAGUUACGGUAGUUGGCACGCUCGCUAUCUUGCUAGAAUCCGGAACAUGAUCGUAUGUCGUUCACUAGAAACAAAACCAACGCC
Molecule: long non-coding RNA, 2897 nt
Organism: Ictalurus punctatus (channel catfish)
Lineage: Eukaryota; Metazoa; Chordata; Actinopteri; Siluriformes; Ictaluridae
Source: Ensembl